GACGAACGCUGGCGGCGCGCCUAACACAUGCAAGUCGAACGGAGCUGAGAGAAGCUUGCUUUUCUUAGCUUAGUGGCGAACGGGUGAGUAACGCGUGAGUAACCUGCCCUGGAGUGGGGGACAACAGUUGGAAACGACUGCUAAUACCGCAUAAGCCCACGAUCCGGCAUCGGCUUGAGGGAAAAGGAUUUAUUCGCUUCAGGAUGGACUCGCGUCCAAUUAGCUAGUUGGUGAGGUAACGGCCCACCAAGGCGACGAUUGGUAGCCGGACUGAGAGGUUGAACGGCCACAUUGGGACUGAGACACGGCCCAGACUCCUACGGGAAGCAGCAGUGGGGGAUAUUGCACAAUGGGGGAAACCCUGAUGCAGCGACGCCGCGUGGAGGAAGAAGGUUUUCGGAUUGUAAACUCCUGUCGUUAGGGACGAUAAUGACGGUACCUAACAAGAAAGCACCGGCUAACUACGUG
RNAcentral lists this ribosomal RNA (468 nucleotides) under uncultured bacterium. RNAcentral's name for it is "partial 16S ribosomal RNA". It matches the Rfam family "Bacterial small subunit ribosomal RNA", at positions 28 to 507 of the family's 1533-position model. The record is from RNAcentral.